RNAcentral lists this ribosomal RNA (1773 nucleotides) under Triticum aestivum (bread wheat). RNAcentral's name for it is "partial small subunit ribosomal RNA". The record is from RNAcentral. Lineage: Eukaryota; Viridiplantae; Streptophyta; Magnoliopsida; Poales; Poaceae.
AUGUCUAUUAGAAUUAGGAAGCAUGAUUCUGGUGCUUCAAAGCGUAAGAAGAAACAAAGACUAGAUCGUGAGGCUCGAUCUCAAACAGGUUCCCUCGAUGGAUAUGUCGAAAAUCAAACUAUGGAUGUUAAUGUAGAUGAUGGUCAUGAUGACAAUGACACAGAGGUUGAGGCUCCGGGUGAUGAUAAUGUUGCCGAUGGGGGUGAUCAUGUUGAUACUGCCAAUGAAGGUGAUAACGCUAAUACCACCGGUGAUGAUAAUAUUGCUGAUGACAUCAAAUAUCCUUUUCCAUUUGAUAUAUUUGAUCCAAGAAAUUGGGAUGCACUUGAUCCUAAAAUGAUAGAUGUUUUGGUGCAGAAGGGUCCUAAAAGAGACUCAUCUAUUCAGCAUGGUAAAAAGGACAAAUUGUCUAGAAGGUUGGAGAAGAAUCAAACAAUUGACAAAGUUGCUCAGCGAGAACUUGAGAAGGAAAAGGAACAUUGGAGAAAAGUUUUGCUUAGAAUCCUCUUGAUUGUUAUGUUUCUUGCAGAACACAAUAUAGCAUUCCAUGGUAGUAAUAGUAAGUUGUACCAAGACAACAAUGAUUCUUUUUGCAUUGAAGAAUCCUUCUUAGGUUUUUUGGAUGUGAAUGAUACCACCGGGCAAGGAUUGUUUGAUGUUUUACAUAAGGAAUUGAAGAGUCUUGACCUUGAUGUGGACAAUAGAUGGCAAAUUCUCAAAGAUAACAUACCAGGAUUGACUCUCAAGUCAUUAUCAUCUACUCGUUGGGAGAGUCGUGUUGAUAGUGUUCAGGCUAUGAGGUUUCAGCUAUCGGAAAUAAGGGAGGCCUUAUUGCAAGUGGCUGAAAGUGAUAAAGAUUCUUCGACACAAAGUGAAGCUCAAUCAUUGGCGGAGAAUGAACUUGGUGGCUUUGAUUUUUUAGUAUCAAUCAUCAUCUGGUAUGAAAUAUUAUCCGUUGUUAAUUUGAUUAGCAAAGAGUUACAGUCAAAGGAUAUGCUUAUUGAUAUUGCAAUUGAAUCUGUAAAAGGCUUGCUUUCCUUUUUCAAAAAGUAUAGAGAAAUCGGCUUUUCAAAAGCAUUGGAAGUUGCCAAAAAAAUUGCAAUGGAGAUGGAUAUUCAUCCAGAAUUCCGCACCAAGCGUAAAAUCAAAAGGAAAAAACAAUUUGAUGAGGGUGAAGAUGAUGCAUCUAUCGACUCACAAUCUGCAGAGGAGUCAUUUAUGGUCAAUUAUUUUAUACGUGUUGUUGAUCAAGCUAUAACUUCACUUACCAUUAGAUUUGAACAAUAUGAGGGGUAUGAAAAGAUAUUUGGUUUCUUGUUUACUUCAGAUAGGCUGCGAUCACUAGAUGACAAGAGUUUGAUGGCUGCUUGUGUUAAUCUUGAAGAUGCACUUAAGAGUGGAGAACAUACAGAUAUUGAUGGACUUGAAUUGUGUUGUGAGCUAAUUUUCAUCCAGGAUUUACUUCAUAAAUCAAUGGGUCCUCUUGACAUUCUGAAUUAUUUGAAGAAGCGCUCCACAAUCUAUCCUAAUGUUGUUAUUGCAUACAGAAUUUUGUUGACCAUUCCUGUAACGGUUGCAUCUGCUGAAAGGAGUUUUUCUAAACUCAAGUUGUUGAAGUUCUACUUGCGUUCUACUAUGACACAAGAAAGACUUAAUGGAUUGGCGACAAUAGCACUUGAAAAUGAUGUCUUGGAGAAGAUAAAGUACGAAGAUAUGAUUGAAGAUUUUAUUUCAAGAAAUACCAGACGGAUGCUUCUUUUUGGUAGAACAUGA